CUCGACGUUGGCCACGCUGCAGGGUUCAGAGCAGGGCACAGCCUCGGGGCGUUGGUAGCACGUUGCGGCAGGGGCUCCUCCGUCCUCCUCCUGCAGCACGCUUCUAGCUCCUCAUCUGUGCAGGCUGGCAACCCUGGACUCGCGUGGGGAGACGCUGACCCAGCUCACCUCUCUCUUAAUGUGACUUUCAGGGGGAUCAGAGACCUCGCUCGUCUGCGCCGUGUCGCUGGGAACCUGCCACCAGGUGCAGGGGCGAGCUGACCACGUCUCCCAGGAGCAGCUUCCAGCGGGAUUAGAUGAAGCUUCUCAUGAACGCACAGCCAGCAAAGGGGAUUAGAGUCGCUGCAGUUCCAGUAAAGCAUCGCUUUGUUAAAUGCCUGGGGCUGAAGAAAGCAUCCCUGGUGCUACAGAAGACGGAGCUUAUUCCGGCCAGGUCGUACUCCUCCCCUGGAAGAUCUGCUGUGCAAAGAGACUGCUACAAACCCAAUCCCUGCUGCCGGCAGCAGACCUCGGCUGUCGUCUCUGGCUCCUGGUGGUGACAGGGCGAUGCUCACCCGUGCUGGAUGAGGGCUCUGUGGGACGGCCCCAAAUGGACCUACCUCUCCUCGGGAUUGCGUUUCAGGAGGAGAGCGAUUCCUAAAAGAGCCAGGAUUACUCCGUGGCACAGACGGGUUGGACCGAGGCAGCGCUGCUCCGUUUGUUUAUCAACCCCCACACCUUGGGUAGAAAAGGAGCCCGGUCCUGAAGCCACCAGCUGGACUGGAGCUCUCAGGCAGGAUCCCAGCCGCCUCCGAUUUGCCUCUCCUCUCCUCUCCUGCCUGACCAGGAGCAGUUUUCCUUUCCAGCUGUUACGCCUGGGGAGCGGACGGAGCCGGCAGCCACAUCUCACCACCUGCUGCACGCUUCGUUCCUCAUGGGUAGCCAAGUUUCUUCUGUCUACAGUUUCAGGACAGCACUGCAGCCCCAGCAAGCUGCUGCUAGCAGGUUUGGGAAGGACGGUUUGAUGCUGCUGUAGUCCAGCAAGGUGCUACCCGCUCAGCCUCAGCGGCUCCUUCCCACCUCUAACAGCGCUGCGUUUUGUCGGGUCCUGGGAGCUCCUGCAACCUGACCUCCUGCGCGACUGAAACGCGACCCGUGAAAGGCUUCUACCACAUCUGCCUACCGAAAAGGAACAGUUCCUCAAUGGGGCUGGCCACUUGCCUAGACAGUUAGCUCAACGGC
Long non-coding RNA from Cygnus atratus (black swan), 1221 nucleotides. RefSeq lists it as uncharacterized. The transcript is spliced from 3 exons. The record is from RefSeq and is a predicted model, not a curated record. NCBI's taxonomy places the organism in Eukaryota, Metazoa, Chordata, Aves, Anseriformes, Anatidae.